This is a long non-coding RNA of Carassius auratus (goldfish), 1424 nucleotides long. RefSeq lists it as uncharacterized. The record is from RefSeq and is a predicted model, not a curated record. NCBI's taxonomy places the organism in Eukaryota, Metazoa, Chordata, Actinopteri, Cypriniformes, Cyprinidae. The transcript has 5 exons.
UCAGUUUGCAGGUUUAUAUGAGUCGUUGCCUUCUCAAUGCUGGUCUGCAGACAAUGAGAGAAUCUUCAGCAGUGCCUGUGACAACAAUAAGAGGGGCAGUGUUGUGGACUUUGCAGAAUGAGACGACCCUUGAUCCUGAUAGGGUCGCAGUGAUGGGUGGGUCUCACGGUGGUUUUCUGGCCUGUCACCUGGUUGGUCAUUAUCCAGAUUUCUACAGAGCAUGAGAUAUUCCUCUGUUGUGCUUCAGUAUGCUCUUGACCGACUGCCCACAUCACAGUCCCUCAUUUCCAUGCUGGAGAAGUCACCUAUAAUUCAUGCUGCACAGAUCCGUGCUCCUGUGUUGUUGAUGUUAGGUGGGAGAGACAGGAGAGUCUGGAGCUCUAGAGCACUCAAGAGCAGGAGCUCACCUGUCAGUGAAAAUGUGGGUGUCGGAUUCAGGUUAAUUAUGUGUGUGUGAGAGAAAGACACUUGCUUCAUGCUCUACUGUCAUGAGUGAAAGACUGUGAGUCUUUAAAACCAAGCAUCGUCUCGGGAUGGGGGUCAUGAUCCUUGACCUUGGAGUUGUCCAAGUUGUCGUCUCCCUUCCAAACACAAAAAGCAGAGCACAAACCAGCCUUGUACCAAGAGAGGAACUCUCUCUCACUGUAUCCUUGCAGAGCUUCUAACAGACAGUGGAUCUUAAAGGGGACAUGUAGAAAAACAGUUCAGGAAACCCAUUUGAUACUACACUCUCAGAAAAAAGGUCCAAAAGCUGUCAUUAGGGAGAUACCUUUUUUAGAAGUUAUACUUUUGUACCUUAUUUACCCCCAAAGAGUGCAUUUUAGUAUGUAUAUAUACUAUCUAUCAAUUAUCUAAAGGGUGUUGUAUUAGUACCUUUCCAAAGGGUGCCACUACUCCCCUAGUGACAGCUUUUGGAUCUUUUUUUCCUGAGAGAGUAUAUAGACAUUGCAAGUAAAUUGCUGCGGAAGUGUAUAUUGCUAAUUCAAACUUUUUUUUUAUUUUUUUGUAAAUUAUGUGACCCUGAAAACCAAGAUCUUGCUCUCUUGCAGGAUGUUUUUCUUAUAAAAUGUCUCAGAAUGUCCUGUUUUUUAUAUAUGUAUAACAACUUUUCAAAUGUACAGUCUUGCGGUGAAACACCAGAUGAUAAUGCUGGACUGAUUGUGGAAUUUGUAAUGGAAAAUAAAAUAUAUUGUAUAUGUGGGAGAGGAAUUCAUGGGUGACUUUGCAUGGUUCUCUAUUUUAUGCUUGUUAGUUUGAAAGCAUUUCUGUAGAUUAGCUUUGAAUGCUGCUAAUUAGCAGGGUUACCGUAGCACCCGUUUCAGAGAAAUAUGAGUUACAUGCUUGUUUUUGUUAGGGCUUUGGGAUAAGCAGUGCAUGAGCACAUCACAGACAUGCCGCUUGGCAGCACUACAAUCCAUGCUUGC